RNAcentral lists this long non-coding RNA (1997 nucleotides) under Strigops habroptila (Kakapo). RNAcentral describes it as "lncRNA (ENSSHBG00005019506.1)". The record is from RNAcentral. Lineage: Eukaryota; Metazoa; Chordata; Aves; Psittaciformes; Psittacidae.
CAAACAACAGGACAAAAAGAUUUAUUUCCAUUGCAAGUAGGAGAGUAAAUACAAAAAAAUCUCUGAUACAUAACAUAAUGUUCUCCUAGGCUGUAACCAUCCACCCCUUUCUUAAAGUCAGCAGAGGGCCUGACCACACCAGAACUCCUCAGGCAGAACAGGAACCAAGAGGCUCUGUCUUUCGGGAAAUGAGCACUUUCAAGGCCCUUCUCUCUUCUCAUCGGUGCUUACACUUAGUGUUUCCUACAGGGUUAUAACCCAAACCUACUGGACACUUAUUCCAAAAACCAAAAGACUAGUUUGAAACUUAGACUAGCUGUGCUAAAAGGAAAGCCCUCAGAUAUUUAUAAUGAAACUUCCAGAAAUCACAAUUUUCCUAAUUCUGGACAGUGCCUGAAAAUUACAAGCAAAGUGCCAGCCAAAAAUACAUUGAGAUCCAAAUGUUUAACAUAUCCCCGUGGCACAAGCAUACAUUGAGAUCCAAUUGUCUAACAUAUCCCCAUGGCAUAUCCCCAUACCCUUAACAGGCAGGCCCAGCCCCAUGGCUCUCCAAGAACACAACAACUUGUAUCUUCCUCCGUCAGUGGUCAUGCAGUGGCAUGAGACACACGGCCACAUGCACCAGCACAGGGUCAGCGCGUCCUGCUGACACAGGGUAGAGCCUGGACAGACAUGUGAUGCUCAGCGCACCCGUUGCACCCGAGCCUGCACAACAGCCUGGGGAGGUUGCAAUAGCCACAAAACCACAGCAGCGCUGGUGGGAAGGGAUCUCUGGAACCUCCAGGCCUGCCACAAGCAGGAGGUUGGAGCAUUGCCACCACUAGCACAGGGCAGGUAUAGCCUGGUCUAUUUUUGUAUUGAAAACCCUGAACGAGAGACCUUGCACAGAUGCAGAGUCCCUCAAAGGGUCCAUAUAGCUCAUUACUAAUCACAAAGCUCCUAUCCAUGGUUUCCAGCUGCUUGUGGCUCAAGUUUAAGCAGUUUGUGGCUAUGUGUCUCAGGUCCUUGUGCAACAGGCGCAACCACUGCACCUGCUGCAGAAAGCAUGCUUUCUAGACAUGUCUGGUUUCCCUAGCUUGUAGGUAGUAAAAGGUCUGGAGAGAAAUAACAAGCAUCUAGACCUUAUCUGCAAAAAAUACACAACUGAACCUACCCAAUUUGUGCCGAGUCAUCAAGAUCUAUCACGCAUGUCCUCCAGACACUGAGUUUUGCUCCCUGAACUUGCUGCAGAUGCUGAGGUCAGGAGCAGUUUGCACAAGAGCUAUAUUAUCACUGGUGCCUUUUUUUCAGACUGAAACUUUAGACUAACACCAGGGCUGGAGCAGAGAAUAAAAACAGGUUGAAGUAAUGGGGAACAAGGGCCAGAAGACCUCUAGACUCAGGAAAAUGAUCCAGUCCAUGCUGAUAACUGCUCUGACAGGAAGGAAGGCAGGCAUUAAGAGGCAGGACAAUUCCUCUCCCGGCUACCCCCAAAGCAGCUAGCAAACCUGCUAGCAAGGGGAUGCAGUGCAAUCCUAGCAGGAGAUGCAAGCAGAGAGCCAGCAGGCAGCUGUCACAAAACUAAGAGCUGGCAGAGCCACUUCUCUUCCAGCUGGUGAAGGGGGAAGCUGGGAGAGGAGCUGGCACAGCAGCCGAGGAGACCUGCCCCACGCUGAGGUAGCCAAGCUGCAGAGGCAGGACUCUGCUCUACCCAGGGUGGAAGCAGCUUAUAGACAUGCCAAGGCCAGGAAGGACAUUGAAAGAGACAACACAGCUCUUCAGGAGGGGAAGCAAGGAUAGGAAAGAUCUGAUUCACUGCAGCGAGGAUGUGAAUGAUGCCUACGCUUGCCACUUGUGGCUUCUCCCUCGCCCCCUGGCAGCAGUGCAAUGCAAUGCAACCUCCCCAGCUCCGUGUACAGGCUGCAGUUUGUGCAGUACCACAAAAAGGGUCCAGAUGGACCAGGGUCAGCAGCACCAGCCCAGUCCCAGCCUCCCAGCCCAUGAGGUGGCUCACCCAC